GAGGUCAGCGGCGGACGGGUGAGUAACACGUGGGCAACCUGCCUGUAAGACUGGGAUAACUCCGGGAAACCGGAGCUAAUACCGGAUACUAUGUCAAACCGCAUGGUUUGACAUUCAAAGACGGUUUCGGCUGUCACUUACAGAUGGGCCCGCGGCGCAUUAGCUAGUUGGUGAGGUAACGGCUCACCAAGGCGACGAUGCGUAGCCGACCUGAGAGGGUGAUCGGCCACACUGGGACUGAGACACGGCCCAGACUCCUACGGGAGGCAGCAGUAGGGAAUCUUCCGCAAUGGACGAAAGUCUGACGGAGCAACGCCGCGUGAGUGAUGAAGGUUUUCGGAUCGUAAAACUCUGUUGUCAGGGAAGAACAAGUGCCGGAGUAACUGCCGGCGCCUUGACGGUACCUGACCAGAAAGCCACGGCUAACUACGUGCCAGCAGCCGCGGUAAUACGUAGGUGGCAAGCGUUGUCCGGAAUUAUUGGGCGUAAAGCGCGCGCAGGCGGUUUCUUAAGUCUGAUGUGAAAGCCCCCGGCUCAACCGGGGAGGGUCAUUGGAAACUGGGAAACUUGAGUGCAGAAGAGGAGAGUGGAAUUCCACGUGUAGCGGUGAAAUGCGUAGAGAUGUGGAGGAACACCAGUGGCGAAGGCGACUCUCUGGUCUGUAACUGACGCUGAGGCGCGAAAGCGUGGGGAGCGAACAGGAUUAGAUACCCUGGUAGUCCACGCCGUAAACGAUGAGUGCUAAGUGUUAGAGGGUUUCCGCCCUUUAGUGCUGCAGCUAACGCAUUAAGCACUCCGCCUGGGGAGUACGGUCGCAAGACUGAAACUCAAAGGAAUUGACGGGGGCCCGCACAAGCGGUGGAGCAUGUGGUUUAAUUCGAAGCAACGCGAAGAACCUUACCAGGUCUUGACAUCCUUUGCCACUUCUAGAGAUAGAAGGUUCCCCUUCGGGGGACAAAGUGACAGGUGGUGCAUGGUUGUCGUCAGCUCGUGUCGUGAGAUGUUGGGGUUAAGUCCCGCAACGAGCGCAACCCUUGAUCUUAGUUGCCA
This 1050-nucleotide ribosomal RNA is filed under the name Metabacillus indicus. Its description in RNAcentral is "bacterial SSU rRNA". It matches the Rfam family "Bacterial small subunit ribosomal RNA", at positions 88 to 1120 of the family's 1533-position model. The record is from RNAcentral. Lineage: Bacteria; Bacillati; Bacillota; Bacilli; Caryophanales; Bacillaceae.